Triplophysa rosa is the source of this 379-nucleotide long non-coding RNA. RefSeq lists it as uncharacterized. The record is from RefSeq and is a predicted model, not a curated record. Lineage: Eukaryota; Metazoa; Chordata; Actinopteri; Cypriniformes; Nemacheilidae. The transcript has 3 exons.
UAACAUAUAAAUGUUUAUAGACUUAAGACGCAUCAAAUGGCCAAUCUGUAAAAAAGUAACUGUUAGUUAAAGUUCAUGCGCAGCGCAGUAUUUUCAUUGUUGCAUGCUUUAGUAACUUAAUUUGACAUAAAAGCACGACAAAGAACCACAUUUAACGUUAUACGUGGGGGGAAAGAUGUCCAUCAUGAGAAUACUGACAGAAGCCUGGAGCAUUGCACUGGCUGUCAGUUAACAUGCAUACAAACAACUCAAAUGUCUGUGUUUUUGCAGAGUCUUUGUAUGUGCCCUCGUCCCUUGUGCAGAAACGUACCUCUUGUUUGCUGUGUUAAGCAGUAUGGCAGGGUGGAUCGUUUACAUGUAGUGCCAUUGACUCUCCAGC